GGUAUGGGGAGGAAUUGAGAUGUCGGAUUCUGUAUUGAUCACACAGCUUCUGAAUCUUCGGACCGUUCAGGUUCUUGGCGUUAUCAGUAACAAUUUCAUUCGGGAGACCAUGCCGGCAUAUGAUAUUGUUUCUGAAGAAUUUGAGAAACGUGUUCUGCGUGAUGUGAGCAUAGGAUGUCGCCUCGACCCACUUGGAGAAAUAGUCGAUGGCUACAAGGAUGAAUCUGUGCCCAUUGGAUGCCUUGGGAUUGAUGGGACCAAUCACAUCUAUGCCCCACAUUGCAAAAGGCCACGGUGAGACGAGAUUGAACAGCUUGUGAGGUGGUACAUUUAUCGGAUCUGCGUAAAUCUGACACUUGUGGCACUUCCGGAAAUACUCGAUGCAAUCCUUUUCCAUUGUGGUCCAAAAAUACCCACGUCGCAUGAUUUGCUU
Molecule: unclassified non-coding RNA, 433 nt
Filed under: Hevea brasiliensis (rubber tree)
Lineage: Eukaryota; Viridiplantae; Streptophyta; Magnoliopsida; Malpighiales; Euphorbiaceae
Source: RNAcentral